GAUGAACGCUGGCGGCGUGCCUAAUACAUGCAAGUCGAGCGAACGGAUGAGAAGCUUGCUUCUCUGAUGUUAGCGGCGGACGGGUGAGUAACACGUGGAUAACCUACCUAUAAGACUGGGAUAACUUCGGGAAACCGGAGCUAAUACCGGAUAAUAUUUUGAACCGCUUGGUUCAAAAGUGAAAGACGGUCUUGCCGUCACUUAUAGAUGGAUCCGCGCUGCAUUAGCUAGUUGGUAAGGUAACGGCUUACCAAGGCAACGAUGCAUAGCCGACCUGAGAGGGUGAUCGGCCACACUGGAACUGAGACACGGUCCAGACUCCUACGGGAGGCAGCAGUAGGGAAUCUUCCGCAAUGGGCGAAAGCCUGACGGAGCAACGCCGCGUGAGUGAUGAAGGUCUUCGGAUCGUAAAACUCUGUUAUUAGGGAAGAACAUAUGUGUAAGUAACUGUGCACAUCUUGACGGUACCUAAUCAGAAAGCCACGGCUAACUACGUG
This 497-nucleotide ribosomal RNA is filed under the name uncultured bacterium. RNAcentral's name for it is "partial 16S ribosomal RNA". It matches the Rfam family "Bacterial small subunit ribosomal RNA", at positions 28 to 507 of the family's 1533-position model. The record is from RNAcentral.